RNAcentral lists this long non-coding RNA (1070 nucleotides) under Piliocolobus tephrosceles (Ugandan red Colobus). Its description in RNAcentral is "lncRNA (ENSPTEG00000014904.1)". The record is from RNAcentral. Lineage: Eukaryota; Metazoa; Chordata; Mammalia; Primates; Cercopithecidae.
UUUUUUAAUUCUUUGUAGAAGAUAAUCAAGAAUUUUUUGAAGAAAUUCCUUCAAUCGAUAGUAUUGAUGGAAAUAAAAUAAUUAUGCAAGUACUUUUUUUUAAUAAAAAUAAAAAAAAAAAUUAUACCUCCUGUUUUUUUUUUUUUUUUUUUUUAUAAUUUUUUAUUUUUUUUUUAUUUUUUUUUUUUUUUUUUUUUUUCAAAUAUAGAGUGAAAAAAACGUAAGAGCUAAACUUUGGGAGGAUGAAGAAUUUUAUUUAAAAUUAAAAGAUGCUGAUAGUAUUAGAAGUUUUUAUUUUUAUGAUAGUUCGUGGACAAGACCUUAUAUGUCUUUAUUGGUUCACAAAGUUUUGGACGACAAUAUAAAUUUAUUUCCUUUUUACUAUCAUGAUGAUAUGGAAUACGAAAAUGACACUAAUGAGGAUUAUUAUGAAAGGUUUGAAGCGAUUGACUUGACCACUGAAAAUGAAGAUAAUGAAACGGAAAGUGACGGAAGUUCACAAGACAUGUUUAUCGUUCCUGAUAACGAACUAAAUACAGAUAUUGGUAUAACUCCUAUUACUAUACCAACAAGUCAAGACAUUCAUUUUUUUUCUCUUUUUGAUUGGCAAUGGACAUUUGAAGGAAACCCAAAGCGCAACUAUAAUAUUAUUGAUAAAAAUACAUGGAAGGAAUUUAAUCUGAUUAACAAAGAGAAUGUAUAUGGGUGCCAAUACAUGUUCUGGGGAAAAGACAACAAUCCAUUCAAAUAUAUGUCUGAAAAGAGCAACUUAAAAAACACUUUGGAUACAUACGAUAUUAAGAAAUUAAUAAAACAUUCUCAUGGAAAAGUAAUUAAAAAGGAUAUUCUUGUUGAUCAGUUUAAAAUGAAAAAUGAGCACCUAACAAAAGCAGACACAGAAAGAAAAUUCAAGACUUAUUUAACAUAUAAAAAAUGUGAAGACAAUAGAAAGGUAAAAUACUGCUAUUAAGUUUGUAAAUCCAUGUGUGUAACCAUGUUCAUAUAUACAUAUAUGCAUAUAUGUACAAAUUCUGAUAAGUCUUUUUUUUUUUUUUUUUUUUCCUUUUUUU